GAUGAACGCUAGCGGCAGGCCUAAUACAUGCAAGUCGAGGGGUAUAAGGAGCUUGCUUCUUUGAGACCGGCGCACGGGUGCGUAAUGCGUAUGCAACCUACCUUAAUCAGGGGGAUAGCCCGGAGAAAUUCGGAUUAACACCGCAUAAAAUCACAGUAUUGCAUAAUACAAUGAUCAAAUAUUUAUAGGAUUAAGAUGGGCAUGCGUGUCAUUAGCUAGUUGGUAAGGUAACGGCUUACCAAGGCGACGAUGAACAGGGGAUCUGAGAGGAUUACCCCCCACACUGGUACUGAGACACGGACCAGACUCCUACGGGAGGCAGCAGUAAGGAAUAUUGGUCAAUGGACGCAAGUCUGAACCAGCCAUGCCGCGUGCAGGAUGACUGCCCUAUGGGUUGUAAGCUGCUUUUAUAUAGGAAUAAAUGUACUUACGUGUAAGUAUUUGAAUGUACUAUAGGAAUAAGGAUCGGCUAACUCCGUGCCAGCAGCCGCUGUAA
Molecule: ribosomal RNA, 496 nt
Filed under: uncultured bacterium
Lineage: Bacteria
Description: partial 16S ribosomal RNA
Rfam family: Bacterial small subunit ribosomal RNA
Source: RNAcentral